RNAcentral lists this non-coding RNA (22 nucleotides) under Arabidopsis thaliana (thale cress). The record is from RNAcentral. Lineage: Eukaryota; Viridiplantae; Streptophyta; Magnoliopsida; Brassicales; Brassicaceae.
CACUUAUUCCUAUCAUGUUUGC